GACGAACGCUGGCGGCGUGCCUAAUACAUGCAAGUAGAACGCUGAAGCGAGGAGCUUGCUCUUCUUGGAUGAGUUGCGAACGGGUGAGUAACGCGUAGGUAACCUGCCUUGUAGCGGGGGAUAACUAUUGGAAACGAUAGCUAAUACCGCAUAACAAUGGAUGACACAUGUCAUUUAUUUGAAAGGGGCAAUUGCUCCACUACAAGAUGGACCUGCGUUGUAUUAGCCAGUAGGUGAGGUAAUGGCUCACCUAGGCGACGAUACAUAGCCGACCUGAGAGGGUGAUCGGCCACACUGGGACUGAGACACGGCCCAGACUCCUACGGGAGGCAGCAGUAGGGAAUCUUCGGCAAUGGGGGCAACCCUGACCGAGCAACGCCGCGUGAGUGAAGAAGGGUUUCGGAUCGUAAAGCUCUGUUGUAAGUCAAGAACGGGUGUGAGAGUGGAAAGUUCACACUGUGACGGUAGCUUACCAGAAAGGGACGGCUAACUACGUG
Molecule: ribosomal RNA, 497 nt
Filed under: uncultured bacterium
Lineage: Bacteria
Description: partial 16S ribosomal RNA
Rfam family: Bacterial small subunit ribosomal RNA
Source: RNAcentral